GUGGGGAAUAUUGGACAAUGGGCGCAAGCCUGAUCCAGCCAUGCCGCGUGUGUGAAGAAGGCCUUUUGGUUGUAAAGCACUUUAAGCGAGGAGGAGGCUCCUUUAGUUAAUACCUAAAGAGAGUGGACGUUACUCGCAGAAUAAGCACCGGCUAACUCUGUGCCAGCAGCCGCGGUAAUACAGAGGGUGCGAGCGUUAAUCGGAUUUACUGGGCGUAAAGCGUGCGUAGGCGGCUUUUUAAGUCGGAUGUGAAAUCCCUGAGCUUAACUUAGGAAGUGCAUUCGAUACUGGAAAGCUAGAGUAUGGGAGAGGAUGGUAGAAUUCCAGGUGUAGCGGUGAAAUGCGUAGAGAUCUGGAGGAAUACCGAUGGCGAAGGCAGCCAUCUGGCCUAAUACUGACGCUGAGGUACGAAAGCAUGGGGAGCAAACAGGAUUAGAAACCCGAGUAGUCC
RNAcentral lists this ribosomal RNA (451 nucleotides) under uncultured bacterium. RNAcentral describes it as "partial 16S ribosomal RNA". It matches the Rfam family "Bacterial small subunit ribosomal RNA", at positions 354 to 796 of the family's 1533-position model. The record is from RNAcentral.